AGCAGCCGCGGUAAUUCCAGCUCCAAUAGCGUAUAUUAAAGUUGCUGCAGUUAAAAAGCUCGUAGUUGAAUUUCGGGACUAAUAUGUUGGUCGUGCCUCGGUACGUACUGAUAUUUUUGGUUUCUCCCUUCUGACGAACCUUGAUGUCAUUAAUUUGGUGUCUUGGGAAAUCAGGACUGUUACUUUGAAAAAAUUAGAGUGUUUAAAGCAGGCUCACGCUUGAAUACAUUAGCAUGGAAUAAUGAAAUAGGACGUUUGAUUCUAUUUUGUUGGUUUCUAGGAUCGACGUAAUGAUUAAUAGGGAUAGUUGGGGGCAUUAGUAUUCAAUUGUCAGAGGUGAAAUUCUUGGAUUUAUUGAAGACUAACUACUGCGAGAGCAUUUGCCAAGGAUGUUUUCAUUAAUCAAGAACGAAAGUUGGGGGCUCGAAGACGAUCAGAUACCGUCCUAGUCUCAACCAUAAACGAUGCCGACCAGGGAUCGGUGGAUGUUGCUCUAAGGACUCCGCCAGCACCUUCUG
RNAcentral lists this ribosomal RNA (518 nucleotides) under uncultured Glomeromycotina. Its description in RNAcentral is "SSU rRNA". It matches the Rfam family "Eukaryotic small subunit ribosomal RNA", at positions 569 to 1092 of the family's 1831-position model. Lineage: Eukaryota; Fungi; Glomeromycota. The record is from RNAcentral.